Gallus gallus (chicken) is the source of this 613-nucleotide long non-coding RNA. Lineage: Eukaryota; Metazoa; Chordata; Aves; Galliformes; Phasianidae. The record is from Ensembl.
UUUGAAACAAAAGGAGUCCUGAUUAUGGCAGAACUGCUGGUCAAAGAAAUGGAGACUGAUUUUUCUCUCCUCUAAUUUCUCUUCACACUGGCACCUGACCUGGAGGCCAUGGAUGCCAUUACGCCAGGGGUCAUGCUGAGGCCAGUCUGCCAAGCACAGAGGUGCUGGGAAGGCAGCAGUCUGUCAUUGCCAGACUCAUGUGCUGAUGGAAUCUUUUGGAAGGGAAGGUUGCAUCUGCUAAUCCAUGUCACAGCCAGCACUAUGCAUAGAAUCAUAGAAUAUCCCAAGUUGGAAGUGAGUUACAAGGACCAUCAAGUCCAAACCCUGGCUCCACACAGGACGACCCAAAAAUCAAAUGCCAUGUCUGGGAGCACUGUCUAGAUACUUCUUGAACUCCGGCAUGUUGGACCUGUGAUCUCUGCCUUGGAGAGUGUGUUUCAGUGCCUGACCACCCUCUGGUGAAGAACCUUUUCUUGAUAUCCAAUCUGACACUCACCUUCAUGGCAUUCCUUCACAGCUACGUGCCAAUAAAGAGAGCAUAAAUUGUCCAUGCAUUUUUUAGGGCUUUCUGUAGAUCCUGUGCUCUAUGAAAUCACCAUAGCUUCCUUUAGAU